RNAcentral lists this ribosomal RNA (713 nucleotides) under Pulchroboletus sp. RNAcentral describes it as "partial large subunit ribosomal RNA". It matches the Rfam family "Eukaryotic large subunit ribosomal RNA", at positions 52 to 762 of the family's 3401-position model. The record is from RNAcentral. Lineage: Eukaryota; Fungi; Basidiomycota; Agaricomycetes; Boletales; Boletaceae.
GGAGGAAAAGAAACUAACAAGGAUUCCCCUAGUAACUGCGAGUGAAGCGGGAAAAGCUCAAAUUUUGAAUCUGGCGGUCGUUCGGCCGUCCGAGUUGUAAUCUAGAGAAGCGUCUUCCGCGCUGGACCGUGUACAAGUCUCCUGGAAGGGAGCGUCAUAGAGGGUGAGAAUCCCGUCUUUGACACGGACCGCCAGUGCUAUGUGAUGCGCUCUCGACGAGUCGAGUUGUUUGGGAAUGCAGCUCAAAAUGGGUGGUAAAUUCCAUCUAAAGCUAAAUACAGGCGAGAGACCGAUAGCGAACAAGUACCGUGAGGGAAAGAUGAAAAGAACUUUGGAAAGAGAGUUAAACAGUACGUGAAAUUGCUGAAAGGGAAACGCUUGAUGUCAGUCGCGUCGGCCAGGGAUCAACCUUGCUUCUCGCUGGGUGCAUUUCCUGGUCAACGGGUCAGCAUCGGUUUCGGUCGCCGUACAAUGGCAGAGGGAACGUGGCACUCCUCGGAGUGUGUUAUAGCCUUUCGUCGUAUGCAGUGGUCGGGACUGAGGAACUCGGCAUGACCUUCAGGUCUGUGUCUAGGAUGCUGGCAUAAUGGCCUUAAGCGACCCGUCUUGAAACACGGACCAAGGAGUCUAACAUGCCUGCGAGUGUUUGGGUGGCAAACUCGAGCGCGCAACGAAAGUGAAAGUCGAGACCUCUGUCCGUGGAGGGCAUCGAC